This 120-nucleotide ribosomal RNA is filed under the name uncultured bacterium. RNAcentral's name for it is "partial 16S ribosomal RNA". It matches the Rfam family "Bacterial small subunit ribosomal RNA", at positions 796 to 918 of the family's 1533-position model. The record is from RNAcentral.
CACACAGUAAACGAUGAAUACUCGCUGUUUGCGAUAUACAGUAAGCGGCCAAGCGAAAGCAUUAAGCAUCCCACCUGGGGAGUACGCCGGCAACGGUGAAACUCAAAGGAAUUGACGGGG